Molecule: ribosomal RNA, 381 nt
Filed under: uncultured eukaryote
Lineage: Eukaryota
Description: partial 18S ribosomal RNA
Rfam family: Eukaryotic small subunit ribosomal RNA
Source: RNAcentral
CAAUAGCGUAUAUUAAGGUUGUUGCGGUAAAAAAGCUCGUAGUUGGAUUUCUACCGAAGAUAGCCGGUCGGGUCUUCGACCUUGUAUCUGGUUUUGUCUUUGGUAUCCUCAUAGGGAACGUUUCUGCGCUUUAUUGCGUGGUGCGGUAUCUAUGACUUUUACUUUGAGGAAAUUAGAGUGUUCACGGCAGGCAAACGCCUUGAAUAUAUUAGCAUGGAAUAAUAACAUAGGAUCUUCGUCCUAUUUUGUUGGUUUCUAGGGCUAAGAUAAUGAUUAAUAGGGAUAAUUGGGGGCAUCUGUAUCAACGCGUCAGAGGUGGAAUUCUUGGAUUGCGUUGCGACAAACUACUGCGAAAGCAUUUGCCAAGGAUGUUUUCAUUGA